This 1145-nucleotide long non-coding RNA is filed under the name Nicotiana tabacum (common tobacco). RNAcentral describes it as "long non-coding RNA (NTAB_LNC016268)". The record is from RNAcentral. Lineage: Eukaryota; Viridiplantae; Streptophyta; Magnoliopsida; Solanales; Solanaceae.
AAUGAGGGAGAUGAAUAAUGUAUCCCAUAUUUGAAGAAACACUCCCAUUAUGAGGGUGGGUACAAGGUUGGAGAUGGCGUUAGGCGCGAGGUCAGCUUUUUCUUUCGUCUCCGUUCGCUCAUCACCUCUAAAAGAACUCGCCUGUUCUUCUUCCAUCAACUCCACCUCGUUCUCCAAAAAUCGGAUCUUAACCCCAAAAAUUCCUAAGUUCAUUAGAGACCCCUAAAAAAGGCUAGCGCCCCUGAACAUAGGAGACCCCCCCGCCCAAACGUCUUCUUCUCCAUUCACUCUCUCACUCAUACACGCUCUUCCCUAACACACACACGCCGAAGCCUCUAGCAACAAGUGGAAAUUACAAAGUUUAGAGCUAAAAUUCAAAAAUUGCAAAGCUGAUUUUCAGUUUCAAUUCCUUGUCUUCUCUAACAUUUUCUGGGGAUUUCAGAGCUUGGUGGAGCUGUAGAAUUUGUUUCGAAGCAGAGAGUUUGAUUUGAACUCAAAUCUCUAUUCGAUUCCGCUGAUUUUACCAUUUCGGGAACUGUGAGCUUCGGUCGAGUUCGCAUCUGCAUUUGGUCUGUUUACUCGAGUUCUUUGUUCAACCAGGUAUUUUGCCUAAUUCUUGUGAACUUAUGAAAUGAAUGAAGUUUUCAUGGUGGUAUGAUUGUUGUAGUGAAGUUGAGUUGUGAUUAUGGGUUUCUCUGUUAAUGGACUUAUAAUGCUUUAAAGUUUGAGAUUCUGCGAGUCUUUCAUAAUCCCAUGAGCAUCCAUGAUUCAUUAUUCCCUUUUGUGUAAUUUAUUUUAGAUCAAAAUGGUCCGUAUCUAACCCACCUGUGGUGAUUUCGAUGUGCUCAAGUCAGCAGUGGGAAUUUAUUUGUUAGCUAUGGCUAAGUCAACAUGUACUUGAUUUAAUAUAUGUUAGCCAUUAAAAAACCCGUAUCUUCAUUUUAUUGAUUUUCCAUUGGAGAUUGUAAGAUUUUAGACUACUUAUGAAGAGGAAUAGAUUUGAGGUUUCCUGCUAUGGAUUUCUUUAGUUUAAAGGUUCAGCUAAAGGCGUGAGGAUUCUAAAUGGAGAAACUAUUUCGUUUUGUUUUUGGAAUUUGUUUAAAAGAGUUUCAGGAGAAUUACUUGAGUAAUAACUUUCCAUUGGA